Molecule: long non-coding RNA, 710 nt
Organism: Grammomys surdaster
Lineage: Eukaryota; Metazoa; Chordata; Mammalia; Rodentia; Muridae
Exons: 2
Source: RefSeq, a predicted model, not a curated record
UGUCUGAGAACACUGCUUAUUAUAAGGGACAAAAGUAUCUAAAAACACUGAAAAGCCCUUCAGCGGACAGUCACCAUUCCGGGACUUCCCAUCCCAGUGGCAUUUGGGACUGUUGUAGGGGGCUGUCCUGUGCAGCUUCACUGAGAUCGGGAAAUAACUGUGAGCCAAAUCCAUACUGUCCUGGUCCCGUGGAUCAAAGAUGAACCCUGUUGAAGCCAUCUUGCUUGAAUAUCUUUUGUCUCUUCGGCUGAAGUUGUGGAUUUAGAGUGAGAGAAUACAGUGCAGUUAAUGUGGAGGACUUACCUGAGCUGGAAUCCAGCCUAAACCUUACUAAUUGCGGCCCCUGCCAUGACACCAGAGCGAGGAGAGAGCUCCUUUAGUCUUUCCUGCUUCUGCUGCAAACCCUAAGUGGGUGGGCUACGAAGGCGGAGCUCCUGGCGCCUCGAGGUUUUGCUAACACGGAGAAUGGAAAGACCCGGCGCAGCAUAGGAAACAUGCAUGAUGGUUCAAGACACAAGCUUUACAACGGUUCACAGAGACUUCCUGCCGGUCCCCAACUGAAAAGAAUAGGAAUUGGCGACACUUUCCAGCUGGCUUAUUUCUUAGACUUCAUUUCUAGAGUUAAGUUUAGUCAACUUACAGCGAUGAAGUAAACAAUACCACCUGUGUAGCCCUCAAAGAAUAAACCCAGAAGGUUUCCGUACAAAACA